CGAACGGAUCCUUCGGGAUUAGUGGCGGACGGGUGAGUAACACGUGGGAACGUGCCCUUUGGUUCGGAACAACUCAGGGAAACUUGAGCUAAUACCGGAUGUGCCCUUCGGGGAAAGAUUUAUCGCCAUUGGAGCGGCCCGCGUCUGAUUAGCUAGUUGGUGGGGUAAAGGCCCACCAAGGCGACGAUCAGUAGCUGGUCUGAGAGGAUGAUCAGCCACAUUGGGACUGAGACACGGCCCAA
RNAcentral lists this ribosomal RNA (242 nucleotides) under uncultured bacterium. RNAcentral describes it as "partial 16S ribosomal RNA". It matches the Rfam family "Bacterial small subunit ribosomal RNA", at positions 63 to 334 of the family's 1533-position model. The record is from RNAcentral.